CACGGCCUAACACAUGCAAGUCGGACGGUAGCACAGAGGAGCUAGCUCCUUGGGUGACGAGUGGCGGACGGGUGAGUAAUGUCUGGGGAUCUGCCCGAUAGAGGGGGAUAACCACUGGAAACGGUGGCUAAUACCGCAUAACGUCGCAAGACCAAAGAGGGGGACCUUCGGGCCUCUCACUAUCGGAUGAACCCAGAUGGGAUUAGCUAGUAGGCGGGGUAAUGGCCCACCUAGGCGACGAUCCCUAGCUGGUCUGAGAGGAUGACCAGCCACACUGGAACUGAGACACGGUCCAGACUCCUACGGGAGGCAGCAGUGGGGAAUAUUGGACAAUGGGCGCAAGCCUGAUCCAGCCAUGCCGCGUGAGUGAUGACGGCCCUAGGGUUGUAAAGCUCUUUUACCUGGGAUGAUAAUGACUGUACCGGGAGAAUAAGCCCCGGCUAACUCCGUGCCAGCAGCCGCGGUAAU
Molecule: ribosomal RNA, 468 nt
Filed under: uncultured bacterium
Lineage: Bacteria
Description: bacterial SSU rRNA
Rfam family: Bacterial small subunit ribosomal RNA
Source: RNAcentral